Oreochromis niloticus (Nile tilapia) is the source of this 655-nucleotide long non-coding RNA. RefSeq lists it as uncharacterized. The transcript is spliced from 3 exons. The record is from RefSeq and is a predicted model, not a curated record. NCBI's taxonomy places the organism in Eukaryota, Metazoa, Chordata, Actinopteri, Cichliformes, Cichlidae.
UUGAAGUGGUGUGACAUUUAGAGUGAUUCGAAUGGAAAGUCCUGGUCACACCAUGUAUGCAAAUACAAUUAGCUGUCACAGCUGGAGCUGCUUAGCAUGUGGGCGGGGAUGAUGUGGCUGUGUAGACUUCAUGUGACUAUCAGCUUAUCAUAAAAUACUUCUUUAAGAAAUUAUUCUUUGCUGGCACAGUAUGUCAUGAAGUGACUUCCAGAAAAUCAUUUGCUGCCAAGAAAUCUAAAAAGGACCCAAAAACUCCAGAGUUUCUAUCAGCCUCUGAAGUCAGCACCAGUCAUAGUUGGGGAUACACAUCAUUACCCUUCACUUGUGUUUGAAAAUCACCUGAGUCGGCACAGAGGGGUAGGAGGGAUGCAUCUGAAAGCUCCCUGGGCUCAGAGGACUGUCCUCCUGUCUGGGUCCUGCAUGCGGAAAAGAACAUUUUUAUUAGAUAAGCUCUCUAGAAAAUGUCUGAACACAUUUUCUGUCAGUACAUUUAGAAAAGUCCACAUGGAUGCAAGUACUUCAGCAUGACUUUAGCUGGUGCUUUGGCAGUUUGAGGAGUCAGAGAAUUUCCACUUUUUGUCUGAUACAGAACUAAUUAUCAGAUUGUGAUUAUCUAAUAAUAAUAACUACAAUAAAACACAUCAGUAAAACCCUU